CAGCAGCCGCGGGAAUACGUAGGGUGCAAGCGUUAAUCGGAAUUACUGGGCGUAAAGCGUGCGCAGGCGGCUUCUUAAGUCGGAUGUGAAAUCCCUGAGCUUAACUUAGGAAUUGCAUUCGAUACUGGGAAGCUAGAGUAUGGGAGAGGAUGGUAGAAUUCCAGGUGUAGCGGUGAAAUGCGUAGAGAUCUGGAGGAAUACCGAUGGCGAAGGCAGCCAUCUGGCCUAAUACUGACGCUGAGGUACGAAAGCAUGGGGAGCAAACAGGAUUAGAUACCCCCGUAGUCCCUGUCUCUUAUAC
RNAcentral lists this ribosomal RNA (301 nucleotides) under uncultured bacterium. Its description in RNAcentral is "partial 16S ribosomal RNA". It matches the Rfam family "Bacterial small subunit ribosomal RNA", at positions 509 to 807 of the family's 1533-position model. The record is from RNAcentral.